RNAcentral lists this ribosomal RNA (357 nucleotides) under Enterobacter sp. 242S. Its description in RNAcentral is "bacterial SSU rRNA". It matches the Rfam family "Bacterial small subunit ribosomal RNA", at positions 1012 to 1369 of the family's 1533-position model. Lineage: Bacteria; Pseudomonadati; Pseudomonadota; Gammaproteobacteria; Enterobacterales; Enterobacteriaceae. The record is from RNAcentral.
UGGUGCCUUCGGGAACUCUGAGACAGGUGCUGCAUGGCUGUCGUCAGCUCGUGUUGUGAAAUGUUGGGUUAAGUCCCGCAACGAGCGCAACCCUUAUCCUUUGUUGCCAGCGGUCCGGCCGGGAACUCAAAGGAGACUGCCAGUGAUAAACUGGAGGAAGGUGGGGAUGACGUCAAGUCAUCAUGGCCCUUACGAGUAGGGCUACACACGUGCUACAAUGGCGCAUACAAAGAGAAGCGACCUCGCGAGAGCAAGCGGACCUCAUAAAGUGCGUCGUAGUCCGGAUUGGAGUCUGCAACUCGACUCCAUGAAGUCGGAAUCGCUAGUAAUCGUAGAUCAGAAUGCUACGGUGAAUAC